CCCCCGGGCGCCCCUGGGCCCCACCGCGGGCGCCCGCCGGAGGUCACCAAACUCUUGAUAAUUUAUGGCCUCUCUGAGUCUUCUGUACUGAAUAAGUCAAAACUUUCAACAACGGAUCUCUUGGUUCUGGCAUCGAUGAAGAACGCAGCGAAAUGCGAUAAGUAAUGUGAAUUGCAGAAUUCAGUGAAUCAUCGAAUCUUUGAACGCACAUUGCGCCCGCCAGCAUUCUGGCGGGCAUGCCUGUUCGAGCGUCAUUUCAACCAUCAAGCCCCCGGGCUUGUGUUGGGGACCUGCGGCUGCCGCAUGCCCUGAAAAGCAGUGGCGGGCUCGCUGUCGCACCGAGCGUAAUAGCAUACAUCUCGCUCUGGUCGCGCCGCGGGUUCCGGNCGUUAAACCACCUUUUAACCCAAGGUUGACCUCGGAUCAGGUAGGAAGACCCGCUGAACUUAAGCAUAUCAAUAAGCGGAGGAA
This 471-nucleotide ribosomal RNA is filed under the name Chaetomium globosum. RNAcentral's name for it is "eukaryotic LSU rRNA". The stretch from base 101 to 254 matches the Rfam family "5.8S ribosomal RNA". The record is from RNAcentral. Lineage: Eukaryota; Fungi; Ascomycota; Sordariomycetes; Sordariales; Chaetomiaceae.